CUACGGGUCGCUGCAGUGGGGAAUCUUGCGCAAUGGGCGAAAGCCUGACGCAGCAACGCCGCGUGGGUGAUGAAGGCCUUCGGGUCGUAAAGCCCUGUCGGAAGGAACGAAUGCUCUUGGGACGAAUAAUCUCAGGAAGUGACGGUACCUUCAAAGGAAGCACCGGCUAACUCCGUGCCAGCAGCCGCGGUAAUACGGAGGGUGCUAGCGUUGUUCGGAAUCAUUGGGCGUAAAGGGCGUGUAGGCGGUCUGUUAAGUCAUGUGUGAAAGCCCCCGGCUUAACCGGGGAAUGGCGCAUGAAACUGAUGGACUAGAGUACGGAAGAGGGAGGUGGAAUUCCAGGUGUAGCGGUGAAAUGCGUAGAUAUCUGGAGGAACACCUGUGGCGAAGGCGGCCUCCUGGUCCGAUACUGACGCUGAUACGCGAAAGCGUGGGGAGCAAACAGGAUUAGAUACCCGCGUAGUC
Molecule: ribosomal RNA, 465 nt
Filed under: uncultured bacterium
Lineage: Bacteria
Description: partial 16S ribosomal RNA
Rfam family: Bacterial small subunit ribosomal RNA
Source: RNAcentral